CCUACGGGAGGCAGCAGUGGGGAAUAUUGCACAAUGGGCGAAAGCCUGAUGCAGCAACGCCGCGUGCAGGAAGACGGUUUUCGGGUUGUACACUUCUUUUCUCAGGGACGACGCAAGUGACGGUACCUGAGGAAUAAGCCACGGCUAACUACGUGCCAGCAGCCGCGGUAAUACGUAGGUGGCAAGCGUUAUCCGGAUUUACUGGGUGUAAAGGGCGUGUAGGCGGGAAAGCAAGUCAGAUGUGAAAACCAUGCGCUCAACCUGUGGCCUGCAUUUGAAACUGUUUUUCUUGAGUACUGUGGAGGCAGACGGAAUUCACAGUGUAGCGGUGAAAUGCGUAGAUAUUAGGAGGAACACCAGUGGCGAAGGCGGUCUGCUGGACAGCAACUGACGCUGAGGCGCGAAAGCGUGGGGAGCAAACAGGAUUAGAUACCCGGGUAGGUC
RNAcentral lists this ribosomal RNA (444 nucleotides) under uncultured bacterium. RNAcentral's name for it is "partial 16S ribosomal RNA". It matches the Rfam family "Bacterial small subunit ribosomal RNA", at positions 338 to 795 of the family's 1533-position model. The record is from RNAcentral.